UACAGAGGUCUCAACCGUUGUUCGGAUUCACUGGGCGUAAAGGGUGCGUAGGUGGUUAGGUAAGUCCGAUGUGAAAUCUCCAGGCUCAACCUGGAAAUGGCAUUGGAUACUAUUUAGCUUGAGGAGUGGAGGGGGGACUGGAAUUCUCGGUGUAGCAGUGAAAUGCGUAGAUAUCGAGAGGAACACCAGUGGCGAAGGCAAGUCCCUGGACACUUCCUGACACUGAGGCACGAAAGCUAGGGGAGCAAACAGG
RNAcentral lists this ribosomal RNA (253 nucleotides) under uncultured bacterium. RNAcentral describes it as "partial 16S ribosomal RNA". It matches the Rfam family "Bacterial small subunit ribosomal RNA", at positions 524 to 776 of the family's 1533-position model. The record is from RNAcentral.